GACGAACGCUGGCGGCGUGCUUAACACAUGCAAGUCGAACGGAAAGGCCCUGCUUUUGUGGGGUGCUCGAGUGGCGAACGGGUGAGUAACACGUGAGUAACCUGCCCUUGACUUUGGGAUAACUUCAGGAAACUGGGGCUAAUACCGGAUAGGAGCUCCUGCUGCAUGGUGGGGGUUGGAAAGUUUCGGCGGUUGGGGAUGGACUCGCGGCUUAUCAGCUUGUUGGUGGGGUAGUGGCUUACCAAGGCUUUGACGGUUAGCCGGCCUGAGAGGGUGAGCCGCGACCCUGGGAGGGAGACACCGCCCAGACUCCGACGGGAGGACGCAGCGGGGGAGCUUGGACACUGGGCCAGAGCCUGAUCCCGCAAUUCCGCGUGAGUGAUGAAGGACGUAGGGUUGUAAAGCUCUUGUACCCGGGAUGAUAAUGACAGUCCCGGGAGAAUAAGCUCCGGCUAACUUCGUG
This 463-nucleotide ribosomal RNA is filed under the name uncultured bacterium. RNAcentral's name for it is "partial 16S ribosomal RNA". It matches the Rfam family "Bacterial small subunit ribosomal RNA", at positions 28 to 507 of the family's 1533-position model. The record is from RNAcentral.